RNAcentral lists this long non-coding RNA (1518 nucleotides) under Pan troglodytes (chimpanzee). RNAcentral describes it as "long non-coding RNA NONPTRT015850". The record is from RNAcentral. Lineage: Eukaryota; Metazoa; Chordata; Mammalia; Primates; Hominidae.
UGAACAUCCAAAGGAUGGGUUGAGAAUGAAGAACCUUCAAGGAGACCGAGGAGGGGAAACCAAUAAAUUAAGAAAAAAAAUCUGGAGACUUAGUCUUUGGAUGCCUGCAAAAAGGAAUGGUAUGGAAGAUCACUAUAAACAAAAUUUCCACAAGAGAAAAUGUUGAAAUAGGAGUUGCGGAUACAUUGGAUAUACUGGAUGAAAUACAAGCGGUUAAUUUUUGUAACGUGAGGGAAAAGCCCACAUUGCUGGUUACAUGUGUAAAUCACUGCGUUAUUGCUUUAGUCAUUGUCUCUAUUUAGCAAUGACAAGACUGGAAGAAGUAAAUAGAGAAGUGAACAUGCAUUCUUCAGUGCGGUAUCUUGGCUAUUUAGCCAGAAUCAAUUUAUUAGUUGCUAUAUGCUUAGGUCUAUACGUAAGAUGGGAAAAAACAGCAAAUUCCUUAAUUUUGGUAAUUUUUAUUCUUGGUCUUUUUGUUCUUGGAAUCGCCAGCAUACUCUAUUACUAUUUUUCAAUGGAAGCAGCAAGUUUAAGUCUCUCCAAUCUUUGGUUUGGAUUCUUGCUUGGCCUCCUAUGUUUUCUUGAUAAUUCAUCCUUUAAAAAUGAUAUAAAAGAAGAAUCAACCAAAUAUUUGCUUCUAACAUCCAUAGUGUUAAGGAUAUUGUGCUCUCUGGUGGAGAGAAUUUCUGGUUAUGUCCGUCAUCGGCCCACUUUACUAACCACAGUUGAAUUUCUGGAGCUUGUUGGAUUUGCCAUUGCCAGCACAACUAUGUUGGUGGAGAAGUCUCUGAGUGUCAUUUUGCUUGUUGUAGCUCUGGCUAUGCUGAUUAUUGAUCUGAGAAUGAAAUCUUUCUUAGCUAUUCCAAACUUAGUUAUUUUUGCAGUUUUGUUAUUUUUUUCCUCAUUGGAAACUCCCAAAAAUCCGAUUGCUUUUGCGUGUUUUUUUAUUUGCCUGAUAACUGAUCCUUUCCUUGACAUUUAUUUUAGUGGACUUUCAGUAACUGAAAGAUGGAAACCCUUUUUGUACCGUGGAAGAAUUUGCAGAAGACUUUCAGUCGUUUUUGCUGGAAUGAUUGAGCUUACAUUUUUUAUUCUUUCAGCAUUCAAACUUAGAGACACUCACCUCUGGUAUUUUGUAAUACCUGGCUUUUCCAUUUUUGGAAUUUUCUGGAUGAUUUGUCAUAUUAUUUUUCUUUUAACUCUUUGGGGAUUCCAUACCAAAUUAAAUGACUGCCAUAAAGUAUAUUUUACUCACAGGACAGAUUACAAUAGCCUUGAUAGAAUCAUGGCAUCCAAAGGGAUGCGCCAUUUUUGCUUGAUUUCAGAGCAGUUGGUGUUCUUUAGUCUUCUUGCAACAGCGAUUUUGGGAGCAGUUUCCUGGCAGCCAACAAAUGGAAUUUUCUUGAGCAUGUUUCUAAUCGUUUUGCCAUUGGAAUCCAUGGCUCAUGGGCUCUUCCAUGAAUUGGGUAACUGUUUAGGAGGAACAUCUGUUGGAUAUGCUAUUGUGAUUCCCACCAA